AUCCUCACAACGCCAGAUUCAUCAGGACUAAUGUCAGAUUCCUUAACGAGCCCAUCGCUCAUAUGGAGACGAGACAUACUGAGAUAGAACAGUUUAACUGGUGGUCAAACAGUCCUAAAGAAGAUCUUCCCGUGAAAGCAGUUUACAGUAAAGCCAGCACUCAGAGAAGUGAUUUCCAGGCGAUCAGAGACGCUCCAGUCAGAGAACGAGAGACCAACAGACCCGCAGCAUCUGGAAUCGUUCCUGCUCUAAGUUCCCUUGACCAAUCAGAAAAGCUCCAAGAUUAUCAUAAACCUGAAUGAUUGUUGAAGAUUACACGAUCAACCCUAAAGGAAAGUGUCACAAAGGGUUCGUGUGGAGAGACAGGAGGCGACGGGGCCCGGGACAUUCCAGAGCACAGAGGGGUCACGCUUGCCCUCGGCAGGGACGGCAGACCUGUUGAACUGCUCUCAGCUGGCCUCGCUUUCAGCUCAACAGAUGUGGGAGAGAAAAGAGGUCCGUCCCACCAGAGAGACCCCAGAGAUGAACCUUCCCAGACACGGAGGGGAAUCCCUUUCGUUCGGCUGGGACAGAGAACUGAACUCAUAAGAACAUAACCGGAUCAUAUUUCACCUCAAAACAGAAAGGAAAAAAUGUUGUAUAACGAAAGAUGAUUAUUUUCAUGAAGCACAUGAAGCACAAAUUCUCAUUACGGUAAUCUAAAAAUAAUUGAUAUAUAUUAUUUGUUAUAAUAGAUAUUAUUGAUAUAUUAUACAUAGAAUACACAAACUGAGUUAGUCAUAAUCAGUUCAGCUCAACUUGUACUGUUCGUGUUACUGUAUGUUCAGAAAGUUUCACAUAUGCAUUAUAUGAGUUAUUUUCUGUACUAUUACAGUACAUGUUCAUAUUUUGAAUUAGCUUUUUUGUUAUAAUUUCAGUCUCCAAUUAAAUUUUUGUUACUUUUUUUUUUUUUUACUUUUUGUCAUUUUAUUAUUAGUUUUUUUCAUAUUUCUAUUUAGAUUUGUUUUUAUUUUAUUUCAAUUUCAGUUUUAGUUUUGUCAUGGUUUUUCUUUUUUUUAUAUACUAUUAUAAUAUAUAAAUAUAAUUAGAUUUUAAUAUAAUAUAUAAUAUAAAUUAAAUUAUAAUUUAUUUCUAAAUAUAAAUUAGAUUUUAUUUUUAACUAUUGUUUCAAUUUAAAUUGUAGUACUUUUUAGUAAUGUUAUUACUAAAAUGAGUAAUUUUUAUGUUUAGUUUUUUAAAUAAUUUUAUAUCUAUUUAGCUUUAUUUUAUUUUCAGUUUUAGUUUUAGUAAUUUUAUUGUGAUUUUCUCAUUUUAUAUAUAUAUAUAUAUAUUGCUUUAUUUUAUUUCAUUUUAGUUUCAGUAAUUUUAUUACUUCAACUUAUUUUAUUAUUAUUAUUUUAGACAGUUGCCAAGACAGCAUUUCUAAUUUUAAUUUAAUUUCUUUAGGUUUAAGUUGUACAUCUAAUAUUUAUAUUUAACUGAUAUAUUAUUUGUAAUACAUAUUAUUUAUAUAUGCAUAUACAUCAUAGUAGUUGCAAUAAAAUAACUACAGAAUAAAAGGAAUUAAAUCGC
Cyprinus carpio (common carp) is the source of this 1572-nucleotide long non-coding RNA. The record is from Ensembl. NCBI's taxonomy places the organism in Eukaryota, Metazoa, Chordata, Actinopteri, Cypriniformes, Cyprinidae.